AUUGUGGACUGGGCACACAACAGGGAAGAAACGUCUAAUCACUUCCUUCUGGGGCUCAACUCUUGCAGCUGAAUCAUUCCGGGAUCAAACCAGGCAGGGCGAUCUUCCUUUAUCCCCUGACCAGCUUCAUUACAGGACAAACCAGAGGGGACUGAACAUCUCAGAAUCGGAGCCAGAGGUAUGAGGAACAAGUAGCUGGACGGAGCAGAGGAGCGGAGGAGAGGGACAGACCCCUCCUUGGAGUGGGCACACGGCUGCCUGGCUGAAAGACACCAGUGCGGUGAGGUGUGGCAUGUGCCUGAGUUCUGGCCAAGGAAAUGCUGAACAGCACUUCUGAACUGUUCUCCCCGACUCCCUCCUUCAACUCCACCAGCCAUCAUGGACCACAAGGUGACCUGAGAGAUGGGCGUCCUGAGUGGCGGAGCUUCUGAGUCCUGGCGGCAACAUGCAGCCACCCUGCGCUGCACAGCUCCACUCUCCUUUCACAUGGGAGGAACCGUGGCACUCCGAACACCACCCUCACCUGGUCAGAGAGAUAAAAGAAAUGGCUGAUUCCCGGAAUGAGGUAGGAAAAGUACAAGAUGAACCUGGAAAUCUCCUUGUGCCAGAAAGGAAAGAAAUCCUCAACAAAUGAUGGAGACAUAUCAAAAAGUCCCGGACUAAUGAGCAAAGGAAGUAAUGCAACAAGAAUGGAACAAAAAAACUGAAACAUACUCACAAGAUCUCCGUAACGGGCAGAUGAAAUUACACGUGAAGGAAAAUUCCCUGUGCUGCUGAAACAUAAUCCCCCUGUCUUCAUAAAUAAAAAAAAUAAAAAAUAAACAGUUUAUGGAAA
Callorhinus ursinus (northern fur seal) is the source of this 835-nucleotide non-coding RNA. Lineage: Eukaryota; Metazoa; Chordata; Mammalia; Carnivora; Otariidae. The record is from RefSeq and is a predicted model, not a curated record.